RNAcentral lists this ribosomal RNA (502 nucleotides) under uncultured bacterium. RNAcentral describes it as "partial 16S ribosomal RNA". It matches the Rfam family "Bacterial small subunit ribosomal RNA", at positions 29 to 523 of the family's 1533-position model. The record is from RNAcentral.
AUUGAACGCUGGCGGCGUGCUUAACACAUGCAAGUCGAUCGGUAACAGGUGUAGCAAUACAUGCUGACGAGAGGCGGACGGGUGAGGAACGCUUGGGAAUCUGCCUAUCAGCGGGGGACAACCCGGGGAAACCCGGGCUAAUACCGCAUACGCUCUACGGAGGAAAGCCGGGGACCGCAAGGCCUGGCACUGAUAGAUGAGCCCAAGUCGGAUUAGCUAGUUGGCGGGGUAACGGCCCACCAAGGCGACGAUCCGUAGCUGGUCUGAGAGGACGAUCAGCCACACCGGAACUGAGACACGGUCCGGACUCCUACGGGAGGCAGCAGUGGGGAAUAUUGGACAAUGGGCGAAAGCCUGAUCCAGCGACGCCGCGUGGGUGAAGAAGGCCUGCGGGUUGUAAAGCCCUUUCGGUAGGGACGAAAGCUCUUGCUCUAACAAAGCAGGAGGUUGACUUAACCUUCAUAAGAAGCACCGGCUAACUCUGUGCCAGCCGCCGCCGUAA